GACGAACGCUGGCGGCGUGCUUAACACAUGCAAGUCGAACGCUGAAGCCCUUUCGGGGGUGGAUGAGUGGCGAACGGGUGAGUAACACGUGGGUAAUCUGCCCUGCACUCUGGGAUAAGCCUUGGAAACGGGGUCUAAUACCGGAUAGGACACAUCGCCGCAUGGUGUGUGUGGAAAGUUCCGGCGGUGCAGGUUGAGCCCGCGGCCUAUCAGCUUGUUGGUGGGGUGAUGGCCUACCAAGGCGACGACGGGUAGCCGGCCUGAGAGGGUGACCGGCCACACUGGGACUGAGACACGGCCCAGACGCCUACGGGAGGCAGCAGUGGGGAAUCUUGCGCAAUGGGCGAAAGCCUGACGCAGCAACGCCGCGUGGGGGAUGACGGCCUUCGGGUUGUAAACCUCUUUCGACCGGGACGAAGGGUGACUGACGGUACCGGUAGAAGAAGCACCGGCUAACUACGUGCCAGCAGCCGCCUGUAA
Molecule: ribosomal RNA, 480 nt
Filed under: uncultured bacterium
Lineage: Bacteria
Description: partial 16S ribosomal RNA
Rfam family: Bacterial small subunit ribosomal RNA
Source: RNAcentral